GUGAGGAAUAUUGCGCAAUGGCCGAAAGGCUGACGCAGCGACGCCGCGUGGAGGAUGAAAUCCGUUAGGAUGUAAACUCCUUUUGCCGGGGAAGAAUGUCCGCCUAUGGCGGAAGUGACGGUACCUGGCGAAUAAGGAUCGGCUAACUACGUGCCAGCAGCCGCGGUAAUACGUAGGAUCCGAGCGUUGUCCGGAAUUACUGGGUGUAAAGGGCGUGUAGGUGGGCUUCUAAGUCGGUGGUGAAAUCCUGCAGCUUAACUGUAGAACUGCCAUUGAUACUGGAAGUCUUGAGUGCGGCAGAGGGAGAUAGAAUUCAUGGUGUAGCGGUGAAAUGUGUAGAUAUCAUGAAGAAUACCAGUUGCGAAGGCGGUCUCCUGGUCCGUUACUGACACUGAGGCGCGAAAGCGUGGGGAGCAAACAGGAUUAGAUACCCUAGUAGUCC
This 442-nucleotide ribosomal RNA is filed under the name uncultured bacterium. RNAcentral's name for it is "bacterial SSU rRNA". It matches the Rfam family "Bacterial small subunit ribosomal RNA", at positions 354 to 796 of the family's 1533-position model. The record is from RNAcentral.